AAGAGACAGCAGUAGCCACGGUAAAACGAAGGGGGCUAGCGUUGUUCGGAUUUACUGGGCGUAAAGGGCGCGUAGGCGGACUGAUAAGUCAGGGGUGAAAUCCCAAGGCUCGACCUUGGAACUGCCUUUGAUACUGUUAGUCUUGAGUUCGAGAGAGGUAAGUGGAACUGCGAGUGUAGAGGUGAAAUUCGUAGAUAUUCGCAAGAACACCAGUGGCGAAGGCGGCUUACUGGCUCGAAACUGACGCUGAGGCGCGAAAGCGUGAGGAGCAAACAGGAUUAGAUACCCCCGUAGUCCCUGUCUCUUAUAC
RNAcentral lists this ribosomal RNA (310 nucleotides) under uncultured bacterium. RNAcentral describes it as "partial 16S ribosomal RNA". It matches the Rfam family "Bacterial small subunit ribosomal RNA", at positions 503 to 807 of the family's 1533-position model. The record is from RNAcentral.